Long non-coding RNA from Macaca fascicularis (crab-eating macaque), 1655 nucleotides. The record is from Ensembl. NCBI's taxonomy places the organism in Eukaryota, Metazoa, Chordata, Mammalia, Primates, Cercopithecidae.
GGAUCACUUUAGCUCAGGAAUUCAAGAGCAGCCUAGGCAAUACAGUGAGGCCUCACCUCUACAAAAAACUUAAAAGUUAGCCCGGCAUGAUGGUGCACUCCUGCCGUCUGAGCUACCUGGGGGGCCGAGGCGGGAGAAUCGCUUGAGCCCAGGAGUUUGAGGCUGUAGUGAGCCGUGAUUGUGCCACUGCACUCCCACUGGGCGACAGAGCGAGUCUGUCUCAAAAACAAACAAAAACGCUUAUGUCAAUCUGAAUAAGGCCAAAGGAUCGUAUCAGUAUCUUGCUUACGAUAGGCACGAAAGUCAUGCAAGAUGGCAGCAGUGGGGACACCAGGCAGAGGAUAAAUGGUCUGUGCUAUUUCUCACAACUGCACGUAAAUCUACAAUUAUCUUUUGGCUGGGAAAACACAGUCCACGCUCUUGUAAGCUUGCAUGUGUACAGAUGACCCCGGGGGACACAGAAGAAACACACCACAGGAGGCCAUGCCUCGGGGGAGUCCUGCUUGGCGUCAUGGGGCAGGGUCUCUUUGGACUGCAGGCUCUUCUGUACCUUUUGAAUUUUGUACCAUGAACAAAUACUUAAUGGAUGCAAAAUAACUUUGCUAAUUUACAAACAGCUGGCUUCAUGCAGAGUUUCUUUUAGGGGCAGGAAAAUGUUCUAAAAUUAACUGUGGUGAGGGUUGCACGCAUCUGUGAAUACACUAAAACCCACUGAAUUGUACACUUUUUUAAGUGGGUGAGUUGUAUGGUUAAACAAUAAAGUGAUUUUUAAAAAUAGCUGGCUGGUCAGUGCCAUCUCUUAUUGCCUGGUAAGAUCCUCCCAGCUCCCAGGGGAGAACAGAAAAGAAUUCCUGAGCCUCCUGCUGUGUGCACGGGGACCCUGCUCCGGUUCUUGGCACUCCUGGCUGGUUAAGCUGGGUUGCGGCAGCAGGAGCAGAGAAGGGCAGUGGGUGUUUAAAUUCUCGGCUUCUGACUCCAAGCUCCCUUUGUCCCUAAACACAGCCAGGCCCUGAGGCCUCCGCAACACUCACUUCCUAUCCAGGAAACCAAGGAUAACCUUCUUCUGCUCCUUCCUUCCCAGGGCCCACCACAGUCAGGUGCCAUAAGAGGACAACACCCCAGGCCACGUGGCUCACGCCUGUAAUCCCAGCACCUUGGGAGGCCGAGGCGGGAGCAUCGCUCGAGUCCAAGAGUUUGAGACCAGCCUGGGCAAUAUAGUGAAACUUCGUCUCUACAAAAAAUGUAAAUACUAGCUGGGCAUGGGGACGCAUGCGUGCAGUCCUAGCUACUUAGGGGCUGAGAUGGGAGGAUCGCUUGAGCCUAGACGGUAGAGGCUGCAGUGAGCCAUGAUGACGCAACUGCACUCCAGCCUGGGUGACAGGCCGGGCGCAGUGACUCAUGCCUGUAAUCCUAACACUCUGGGAGGCCGAGGCAGGUGGAUCACCUGAGGUUGGGAGUUCAAAACCAGCCUGACCAACAUGGAGAAACCCCAUCUCUACUAAAAAUACAAAAUAAGCCGGGUGUGGUGGCACAUGGUUGUAAUCCCAGCUACUAGGGAAGCUGAGGCAGGAGAAUUGCUUGAACCUGGGAGGCGGAGGUUGCGGUGAGCCGAGAUCAUUGCACUCCAGCCUGGGCAACAAAAGUGAAACUCCAUC